CUUUGCACUGGACUUUGAGCCUGCUUGUGUAGGAUAGGUGGGAGGCUUUGAAGCGUGGACGCCAGUUCGCGUGGAGCCAUCCUUGAAAUACCACCCUGGCAUGCUUGAGGUUCUAACUCUGGUCCGUAAUCCGGAUCGAGGACAGUGUAUGGUGGGCAGUUUGACUGGGGCGGUCUCCUCCUAAAGAGUAACGGAGGAGUACGAAGGUGCGCUCAGACCGGUCGGAAAUCGGUCGCAGAGUAUAAAGGCAAAAGC
Molecule: ribosomal RNA, 255 nt
Filed under: Pseudomonas aeruginosa
Lineage: Bacteria; Pseudomonadati; Pseudomonadota; Gammaproteobacteria; Pseudomonadales; Pseudomonadaceae
Description: partial 23S ribosomal RNA
Rfam family: Bacterial large subunit ribosomal RNA
Source: RNAcentral